Molecule: long non-coding RNA, 405 nt
Filed under: Capsella rubella
Lineage: Eukaryota; Viridiplantae; Streptophyta; Magnoliopsida; Brassicales; Brassicaceae
Description: long non-coding RNA (CRUB_LNC002519)
Source: RNAcentral
UUAAAACUAUAUAUAUUUACAAGGUAAUGAGAAAUUGUAAUGAAUGAUUACUGUCGGUGCUACAUUCCAUCGCAUUUUGAAAUCUCCAUCAGGAUGAAAUGUCAAAGCAACACACCACCAUGCAUCAAUGAGUUGUUAUUAGUUGGAUGGAUUAUUCCUAAGUACUUUUUUUUUUUUUAAUAGUCCUAAUCAAGAAUUUUUUUUUUUUUUUUGGCAAAGUCCUAAUCAUUUUAACAAAUAAAAAAACCUAAGAAAGUGGCCACUUAAUUGGAAACAAAAUUCAAUCUCUCAAUGGAGUAAUGUCUUCACAUGUAUGAGUAAAUUCUCUACCUAGAUGGAGUUAUCUCUUUGUAGACCGCACUUGAAAUCAAUUCGUCAAAUUCCAACCAACUCAUCCAAUUUUUA